UGGGGAAUUUUGGACAAUGGGGGAAACCCUGAUCCAGCCAUCCCGCGUGUUCGAUGAAGGCCUUCGGGUUGUAAAGCACUUUUGGCAGGAAAGAAACGUCAUGGGUUAAUACCCCGUGAAACUGACGGUACCUGCAGAAUAAGCACCGGCUAACUACGUGCCAGCAGCCGCGGUAAUACGUAGGGUGCAAGCGUUAAUCGGAAUUACUGGGCGUAAAGCGUGCGGAGGCGGUUAGGAAAGAAAGAUGUGAAAUCCCAGAGCACAACUUUGGAACUGCAUUUUUAACUACCGGGCUAGAGUGUGUCAGAGGGAGGUGGAAUUCCGCGUGUAGCAGUGAAAUGCGUAGAUAUGCGGAGGAACACCGAUGGCGAAGGCAGCCUCCUGGGAUAACACUGACGCUCAUGCACGAAAGCGUGGGGAGCAAACAGG
RNAcentral lists this ribosomal RNA (429 nucleotides) under Acidobacteriota bacterium. RNAcentral's name for it is "Acidobacteria bacterium partial 16S ribosomal RNA". It matches the Rfam family "Bacterial small subunit ribosomal RNA", at positions 355 to 776 of the family's 1533-position model. Lineage: Bacteria; Pseudomonadati; Acidobacteriota. The record is from RNAcentral.